Molecule: small nuclear RNA, 18 nt
Filed under: Arabidopsis thaliana (thale cress)
Lineage: Eukaryota; Viridiplantae; Streptophyta; Magnoliopsida; Brassicales; Brassicaceae
Description: snRNA_03603
Source: RNAcentral
UAUCUCAAUGAGAUACCC